CCUACGGGUGGCAGCAGUGGGGAAUAUUGGGCAAUGGGCGCAAGCCUGACCCAGCAACGCCGCGUGAAGGACGAAGGCUCUCAGGUUUUUAACUUCCUUUUUUCUGGACGUAGCAUGUGACGGUACUUCAUGAAUAAGCCACGGCUAACUACGUGCCUGGAGUCGCGGUAAGACGGAGGGGGCAAUCGUUCUGCGGAUUUGAUGGGUGUAAAGGUCUUGUUAGCGGGACUGCAAGUCAGAUGUGAAAACAACGGGCUCAACCUGUGGCGUGCAUUUGACACUGGAGUUCUUUAGUACUGGAGAGGCAGACGGAAUGCCUAGUGUAGCGGUGAAAUGCGUAGAUAUUAGGAGGAACACCAGUGGCGAAGGCGGUAUGCUGGACAGCAACUGACGCUGAGGCGCGAAAGCGUGGGGAGCAAACAGGAUUAGAUACCCGAGUAGUC
RNAcentral lists this ribosomal RNA (443 nucleotides) under uncultured bacterium. RNAcentral describes it as "partial 16S ribosomal RNA". It matches the Rfam family "Bacterial small subunit ribosomal RNA", at positions 338 to 795 of the family's 1533-position model. The record is from RNAcentral.